RNAcentral lists this ribosomal RNA (540 nucleotides) under uncultured Geobacteraceae bacterium. Its description in RNAcentral is "bacterial SSU rRNA". It matches the Rfam family "Bacterial small subunit ribosomal RNA", at positions 9 to 526 of the family's 1533-position model. Lineage: Bacteria; Pseudomonadati; Thermodesulfobacteriota; Desulfuromonadia; Geobacterales; Geobacteraceae. The record is from RNAcentral.
GAGUUUGAUCCUGGCUCAGAACGAACGCUGGCGGCGUGCCUAACACAUGCAAGUCGAACGUGAUCCAGAGCUUGCUCUGGUGAAAGUGGCGCACGGGUGAGUAACGCGUGGAUAACCUACCCUGGUAUCCGGGAUAACAUUCCGAUAGGGGUGCUAAUACCGGAUAAGCCCACGGGCUCUUUGGAGCUUGCGGGAAAAGGUGGCCUCUAUUUAUAAGCUACUGUAUCAGGAUGGGUCCGCGUACCAUUAGCUAGUUGGCGGUGUAACGGACCACCAAGGCGACGAUGGUUAGCUGGUCUGAGAGGAUGAUCAGCCACACUGGAACUGAGACACGGUCCAGACUCCUACGGGAGGCGGCAGUGGGGAAUUUUGCGCAAUGGGGGAAACCCUGACGCAGCAACGCCGCGUGAGUGAUGAAGGCCUUUGGGUCGUAAAGCUCUGUCAGAGGGGAAGAAAUGAUAUAGUGCUAAUACCACUUUAUCUUGACGGUACCCUCAAAGGAAGCACCGGCUAACUCCGUGCCAGCAGCCGCGGUAAUAC